AGAUUCCUAUACGACUCUCAGUAAAAAUUUAUCCGCACUCCAGAUAGUUAAAACUUCUGUCGACCGUAUUGAUCCAUCUGCACUCUUCGUAUGACGUCAAUAUCUGUUCAGUGCUGCUGCGCAGGUUUCUUUGUGUUACGUCAAUUCGUUUGUGACCGUUGCGCGAGUAAUGGCGCUUUGCAAUGGUGAUUUGCAGGAAAACAGUGCAGGAUGCUGUGAUUCGUUUCUUGUGGUCGGAGGUUAUGUUUGAUGCCUAUAUUUAUCAAAGAUUUAAUGCACAUUAUGGAGAAAGUGUUUUGUCACGAAGUGUGUUUGAAUGGGCACAAAAGUUCAAAGAAGAUCGCACAAGUGUUAUGAAAAAACAGCUGGACGCCCGUCCACAUCCACGAUGACAACAUUGAACGUGCUCAUGAACUUAUGCUCUAUGGAAUAGACGAGUGACACUGGAUAAUGUGGCAAAUCAUUUGCAAAUCAGCCACGGCUCUGCUUAUGCAAUAGUGCACGACAGAUUUGGGUUUUAAAAAGUUUGUGCGAGAUGGAUGCCGAAAAAGCUGAUGAAAAGGUGAAGACGACGAUGCAUUCGUGGUUCGCAGCUCAGCCCAAAACAUUUUUUAAUGAGAAAAUACGAAGGUCCUUCGGCAAAUGGACAAAGUGUAUACAGAAAUCGAGUGAUUAUGUCAAAAAAUGAUGUAUGUCUUUUUUGACAAUUGCUUAAAAUAAAUUUUACACCGACAGAGCGGGUAACUUUUUACUCACCCUCGCUGUUAAUCUAGAGGCUGGAGUACAAAGAAGUGGCACAAUGAUGUGGGCUGAUGACAUUUAUAAUUAUCAAGGAAUCACCCCUACAUUCGCUCAGAAUUUUAAUGAAACUGUCCCUUGGGAAGGAAGAACUGAUACCUUGAUAUCACGGUUUGUACAUCCUAUAUACACGACAAAUUUUAGAACAUUAUAUAACGAAGAACCAGAUCGUCGUGGCCAUGUGAUGUGAAUAAAAGGACUUGCAUCUGAUGAUAUUUUUAUAAUGUUAGAUAACAUAACUAAGCAUCUUCACAGUAAGAUAGGAUGACAUGGUUUACAUGAACUUAAUGUUGUUCACUUGAGUGAUGAUAUUAUAAGGAAAAGUGUAAUAUCACAGGAUAUUUAUGUUUAGUAACCAGUAAUUCAGAGAUUGGUAUUCAUGGUUACUAUAACGAGGCUGUAGAAACGCACCCUUUCUUCUUUGCAAAUGGUCCUGUAUUUAUGUCUAAGCCGAAACUGGAACCUCUGAAUAAUUUAGAUUUAUUCUUGUUAUUUUCUAAAAUACUUAUCUACAGUAUACCAUAAGGAAUGAUACCGUAUCGCACCUAAUCAAGUGCCUUAAGAAACAUCAACAGGAUAUCACAGUAAUCCCUUAUCGACAGAUAUUUGUAGCCACUACAAUAUCUAUGACACUGGUAGUAAUUAUAAGAACAAUAACGAUGUUCUAUAAGAGGAAAUGAUGAUUAGGAACAAAAACUUACAGGAGAUAUCAUGCGGUGGAUGGAUAAUAUGUAAAAAAUAUUAAGCAGUAUAUGAAUUUUCAUAUUGCGUAGAGAUAACAAAAUGAAUUUUAAAAAAUGUCGACAUGGUAAUAAGAAAUAGCAUCAUGACAAAGAAUAUAUAAAGACAGUUUCAUUUUUUAUAAAUAAAAAUUUGUUGUUCCAGAUUUUGAAAUAUAGUGAAACGUUUAAUUAGUAUCUUAAUAUCUUUAAAUAAUUAUUAUUUUAGAAUCAAUUGUAAUUGUAUCAUACGUACUUUUGAAUUCGUGCAAGAACAUAUGUAAUUUUGAAGUAGUUAUUAUUAGGAAAUUGUUAGACGCGAACAGUAUGCAAAAAGUUAGUAUGCAGUGUAAUAAUUAUCAAUCAAAACACAAGAAUUAAAUUCUUGAGGAAAAAAUUUCCGGAAUUUCUUAUUUACACGAUUAUAAAGAAAUCCAUAAUAAAAAGGAGCUGCUUUCUAAUACUUCUCUUCCUUGUAAUGCCUAUGUUAAUAAUAACGAGAUUGAACAAUAUUCCAGAUUUAUUCAUAAUUUCAUACUACGCGAAGAAUAGACUUUCAUAGGUAUAUAAAGGAAAUAUUAAGUAUAGGAAAACUCUUUUUCAUUGUAGGUGACAUAUGCUUCACGGUUGAACGUAUUUUUGAACACAUAUAAAUGAAAAAGUACUCUUAUGGAGAAAAAGAAUUGAUACCUUCGAUUGACAUUAGAUAAUGUAUAUAAACUUAUGAACAAUCACUAUCGGUUUGUAUUUUAGGUGCACACGCAGAUUUGUUGGAGUUCUUAUAAAAUGUACUUCCUGUACGAACGUUUUAUUCUUCCAAAUUUUACGAUACUAUGUCUCAUAUAAUAACUAUAUGGAUUAAACGUAAUAUAAAUGAUCCGAAAAUAGACUCGAACGACAUUAAUUGUCUUUUUAUUUAUACCAAUAUGGAAAAUACAAGUAAAGCUGGAGCAAUAGUAUGCAAGAAUGGACUAUUUAUUAUUUUAAACCAAAUCAUAGCAUAUUCAGAAUGCACAGUAUUAUCAUGAAAUGUAAAUGAAUCAGUUGUAAACGAACGAUUUUACUGUAAAAUCAUUGCCUCCUUUUUUUCAUCUGAAAUAUAGCAGCAAUGAGUACAUUCUUUUAAUAUAUAAUAAAACGAGAUAUCUUUAUAAAGUUACAUAUGUCAUCACUGGUAACUGUUAUCUCGUAUGACACCAAAUAUACCGUUAGUAUGGAAUAAUAUUUUUAUGAAGAUAUACUUUAAUGAUAGAUUUUAUGAAUGAAACGUUAUAUAAGAAAAAUUAUCUCUUGUUAUUCUAUGAAGUGUAGUAGCUAAUGAAGAUUAAUUUUACGAAGUAUUAGAGCAAAAGAGAAUUAAAAAAUUAAAAAGAUCUAAAUAAGA
Long non-coding RNA from Bombus huntii, 2901 nucleotides. RefSeq lists it as uncharacterized. The record is from RefSeq and is a predicted model, not a curated record. The transcript is spliced from 7 exons. NCBI's taxonomy places the organism in Eukaryota, Metazoa, Arthropoda, Insecta, Hymenoptera, Apidae.